GGGCCCGUAGCUCAGCUAGGAUAGAGCACCGGGCUUUUAACCCGGGGGUCGCGGGUUCAAUUCCCGCCGGGCCCGCCA
RNAcentral lists this transfer RNA (78 nucleotides) under Candidatus Bathyarchaeota archaeon. Its description in RNAcentral is "tRNA-Lys". It matches the Rfam family "tRNA". Rfam says of the family: Transfer RNA (tRNA) molecules are approximately 80 nucleotides in length. Their secondary structure includes four short double-helical elements and three loops (D, anti-codon, and T loops). The record is from RNAcentral. RNAcentral also lists the same sequence under 1 other name. Lineage: Archaea; Thermoproteati; Candidatus Bathyarchaeota.